This 263-nucleotide ribosomal RNA is filed under the name uncultured bacterium. RNAcentral describes it as "partial 16S ribosomal RNA". It matches the Rfam family "Bacterial small subunit ribosomal RNA", at positions 524 to 786 of the family's 1533-position model. The record is from RNAcentral.
UACAGAGGUGGCAAGCAUUGUUCGGAUUCAUUGGGUGUAAAGGGUCUGUAGGCGGUCAAGCAAGUUGGGUGUGAAAUACCGUGGCUCAACCACGGAACUGCGCUCAAAACUACUUAACUAGAGUUUGGAAGAGGAAGAUGGAAUUCCCGGUGUAAGGGUGAAAUCUGCAGAUAUCGGGAGGAACACCAGUUGCGAAGGCGAUCUUCUGGUCCAAAACUGACGCUGAACGACGAAAGCCAGGGGAGCAAACGGGAUUAGAACCC